RNAcentral lists this ribosomal RNA (399 nucleotides) under uncultured Rhodocyclaceae bacterium. RNAcentral describes it as "bacterial SSU rRNA". It matches the Rfam family "Bacterial small subunit ribosomal RNA", at positions 984 to 1382 of the family's 1533-position model. Lineage: Bacteria; Pseudomonadati; Pseudomonadota; Betaproteobacteria; Rhodocyclales; Rhodocyclaceae. The record is from RNAcentral.
ACAUGUCCGGAAUCCGAAGAGAUUUGGUAGUGCUCGCAAGAGAACCGGAACACAGGUGCUGCAUGGCUGUCGUCAGCUCGUGUCGUGAGAUGUUGGGUUUAAGUCCCGCAACGAGCGCAACCCUUGUCAUUAGUUGCCAUCAUUUGGUUGGGCACUCUAAUGAGACUGCCGGUGACAAACCGGAGGAAGGUGGGGAUGACGUCAAGUCCUCAUGGCCCUUAUGGGUAGGGCUUCACACGUCAUACAAUGGUCGGUACAGAGGGUUGCCAACCCGCGAGGGGGAGCUAAUCCCACAAAGCCGAUCGUAGUCCGGAUCGCAGUCUGCAACUCGACUGCGUGAAGUCGGAAUCGCUAGUAAUCGUGGAUCAGCAUGUCACGGUGAAUACGUUCCCGGGUCUU